Molecule: ribosomal RNA, 524 nt
Filed under: uncultured bacterium
Lineage: Bacteria
Description: partial 16S ribosomal RNA
Rfam family: Bacterial small subunit ribosomal RNA
Source: RNAcentral
GACGAACGCUGGCGGCGUGCCUAAUACAUGCAAGUCGAACGAAGCUGUUUUAACUGGUGCUUGCACCGACUUAAACAACUGAGUGGCGAACGGGUGAGUAACACGUGGGUAACCUGCCCCAAAGCGGGGGAUAACAUUUGGAAACAGAUGCUAAUACCGCAUAACCACAGAAACCACAUGGUUUCUGUGUCAAAGAUGGUUUCGGCUAUCACUUUGGGAUGGACCCGCGGCGUAUUAGCUAGUUGGUAAGGUAAUGGCUUAACAAGGCAAUGAUACGCAGCCGAACUGAGAGGUUGAUCGGCCACAUUGGGACUGAGACACGGCCCAAACUCCUACGGGAGGCAGCAGUAGGGAAUCUUCCACAAUGGACGAAAGUCUGAUGGAGCAACGCCGCGUGAGUGAAGAAGGUUUUCGGAUCGUAAAACUCUGUUGUCAGAGAAGAACGUGUGCGAGAGUAACUGCUCGUGCAGUGACGGUAUCUGGCCAGAAAGCCACGGCUAACUACGUGCCAGCCGCCGCGGUAA